Long non-coding RNA from Bacillus rossius redtenbacheri, 19961 nucleotides. RefSeq lists it as uncharacterized. NCBI's taxonomy places the organism in Eukaryota, Metazoa, Arthropoda, Insecta, Phasmatodea, Bacillidae. The transcript has 2 exons. The record is from RefSeq and is a predicted model, not a curated record.
CUCUCUCUUCCCUUGCUGUGUUAUCUGAUGGCACUACUUUAACAGCCUGCACACAUGAUGUUAGAUAGUGUUAGUGGCUAAAGAUUAUAUUGCCAUCUCAUGUGCUAAAUGAUAGUUGAAAUUCAGUAUAUUUACUCAUAUUGUUAACUUUUUUAUCUGUCUUCCUGUAGACAAUGUCAACAAUAGACUUAUGUGGCUGUCUGUAGGUGACAAAAAAAAAUGUGGGUGUCACUUUGUAUGUAAUAAAUACCACUUGUGUUAUUUGUUACAAUACAGAUGUUUAGUCUAGCUAUUUUCAACAGCUUAGUAUAUCAAUGACUUGGAUGACAAUUAUUUUCUAGUUCCCAAAUUAUUAAUUAACUUAAUAAACGAAUGGUAGUCAGAUAGGAUAUAAAAAAUUUAGCCUGCUGAUGUGAUUUCAUAGUUGUUUUAUUUUAAAAAGGUUUUUUUUUUAAGGCCCUGUCACACUGUCAAAUAUAUUGUAUCCAAUAAAUUGGACAACAAAAUUUGAAGGGUGAUUUUGGAUGAAAUACGUCUUCAAAUAUAUUGUAUUCAAUAUUAUUUGACGAGCAAUGUAAAAUAUAUUUGAAGUCAUUUCACACUAUCAAUUUUCUUUGAGUGAGCUCGUUUUACCAAACAUUCUGUAGAGAACUGUAAAUGACAGUACUAUUUAGAAUCAAAAACAAAUUUUGGGUCAAGGAACGCAGGAUUUUUUAAGUAGGUUAUAUUCCAAUUUAGGUAUAUUGUGAUCAUACACAGUUUAAAAUUUAUGUUUUCCAGGUGUUUGCAAUGCCUGCAUUAAGAGCAUCAAAGUGUUUCAAAAGCUGUAGCUGUAAUUGCAAUUGUAGCAAGUCUCAGUAAACUAGAAGAGAAAUCUAAGAAAAGGAAACGCAGAUGGUGGACGAGACAGUGGAUACUUUCCCGGCAAACAAAUUGUGUUUUACCCCUUUUUGUCAUGAACUUCGAUAAGAAGAUGCCGAUUCAUUUCCGAACUAUGUAAUAAUGGAUUCUGAAAGUUUUGAUCUUCUUCUUUCAAUUGUGGAGUCUCGCAUUGCAAAGAAGGAUACUCAUUUGUGCCAGUCUAUACCAGCAAAGCAGAGGCUGGCAGUUACAUUAAGAUUUUUGGCGACAGGGGAAUCAUUUAAGUCCCUUAUGUUCUCUACAAGUAUUCCACACAACACCAUCUCAAAAUUUUUACCUGAAAUUUGUAGUGCAAUUUAUAGUGCUCUUCAAAAACAAUAUUUAAAGGUAUGUUUAGUAAGAAUAAAACAUAUAAUUAAAUGUAAAUAUAAGUUGGCAUAUCCCUUCUAAUUCCCGCUUAUUUUCUCACCCAACUAGCUGCUGUUGUAUGGACACUUUCACUUGUAUUUCAUCAAAAUUGUUCCUAUACUUUAAAGUGAAUGUGUUAAUUUUUGCUGUGUUUAGAAAUUGGCAAUUUUGUUUUAUUUUGAAUUAAGUGUAUUUACUGUUACAAACCUCAACCUGAGCCUUUAAGCUAACUUCACCUCAGUCACAUUAACUCUUUAAAAUAAUUUUUUAACGAGAUAUUAGACCAGGUAUGCUUGUUUCGUACAGCCUGGGAAGUAUAGGCUUACUGACAAGGAUCUGCUACACAAAUAUUUACAUUCACGAAAAAUGAUAUUACUUUCAAAACUUAAAUAAUAAUAAUUGAACACGUAGGCAGAAUUUUAAUAUUUCUAGGCCUUUCUUGCAAAUCACCAGAGCUACUUGCUUACUCAGAGAUGCUGCUUUAACAUAAGUCAGUACCAUCUAUUGUCAGGAAAUUAUGAGUCUAUAUUCCAGAAAAUUCCAGACAAUACUUACAGAGUAGCAGCUAUUGUGAAAUAAGAACAAUGACUUAUAAGAAAGAUUGAUUGGGUAAGCCAAAAUAAUUUUAGUUACAUUAAGUCUCUGAAUUGAAAUAUUUUAAAAUUUAUUUUAGAUGUUAUUAAUUUGGAUUUGUAGGUAAAAGUUCCGAAAUGCAUAUCCUAGUUUUGAUACCUCAUUCCUGAUGGCACAUUUUGUACGCAAUGCUUGCUGUUUUAAUUUAGUGUAUCAACAAUACCUGAACAUAAGCAAAACUGGUAUAGCAAUCAAAUAAUGAUCGUAAGUUGAAUAGACGAUGUUUUCUGGUUUAAGGACUAUAAUAUUCCAAAACAACAGUAACUUCUUUUAGUCAAAUAUAUUAACCUGCACUUCCGUACAUACAGAUUCAAUUGGAGGAAAAUAUACAAUAACAAUUAUUGCAGUAGGAAAUAAAAUAGUAUUAAUUCAAUUACUGCAUUUAUUUCCCAUUCGCCAUUGCUGAUAUUUAAACUAUUACGCUUCGGAAACGGAAACAAAAGCGGCCGCUUUAUUUUAGAUAACUCUGAUUGGCUGAUCCCAUCCAACAUCCAACAUAUUUUAGAACCAGUCCUAUACGUAAAAUAUUUGAAGGAAACUCUAGACAUUCAAUCUCUCAAAUAAACAUGGCUGCGAUAGUGACGUUUAACGUGACGUCACAACCCUUAAAGAUAUUGGAUCCAACAUAUUGGAAGGUGUUGGAAGCUAAAAUUUGACAGUGUGACAGGACCAUUACUAUGCUAGUAGACAUAUGUAUUCCAUAAUUGGACAUGGAUGUGUAUGUAAAACAAAACAACAUAGCUACUUUAAAGCAUGUGUAUUCAAUAGGUUUUAUUUUUUGAAAUGUUUUAAUAAUAAGUAGAGAUGUACGAACCUGCAAAUUUUUAAGUCGAGUCGAAUUUUACAAUAAUUAUUUCGAGUCGAUUUGAGUCGAGUUUGUAGAUCAUAAAUUCAAGUCGAGUCGAUUCGAGUCUGAAUUUUUAUUUGAAUCUUUGACACUUAAGUCGAGCUUGAAUAUUUGCACUUUAUUGCUAAGAGUCCUUAGAUGUAUGUCUUGUUAUAUCAUGGCCCACUUAAUCAAAUAUAUUUAAAAUACAAGUAUUAAUACAAAUAAUUCAUUUAGGUUAAAUUCUUAACUGAUAUAAUACAAUUCAAUAAUUGCGGUUUAGAGCAUAGAAUAAAAGUAUUUUCGGAAUUUUUAAAUUUUAUUUAACAAAUAUCGCCCAACUGUGAAAAUUAAAAAAUUCGAUAUCUCCUAAAGUAUUUGGAAUUUCUUAUAUCCGCCGGCUUUAAUGAAAAGAGGAAUUUAAAGAGCAUAUAAUAAAAGUAUUUUCAGAUUUAAACAUUUUUUUUUUUCGAAAAUACCGCUCAACUACAUAUUUACCUUAUUUUGAACCGAACGAGUUAUCUGCGGCCUGUAGCAUUCACGAGUCAAUAAAAAACAUUGAAUAUAAUUUAGACUUGUUGGCGCGAAGGUUAGGGUUUCACACAAUCAUUAGAACAUUUUUGAAAACUUUCACUUAUGGGAAGUGUAAGGCCGUGCUACAACUGGCGCAACAUUACAAUAAACGUUCCCAUAACAAAUAUAAUACAUUUAAAGAUUAUUGCUACAACACUAACGCCGUUAUGUUGCCGGCCAAUCGCAAGCUGGCACUUCCAACCAAUACAUGCUUUUGUAUUUGUAUUGAAUAGUUACACUUUAUAAAAUACUUUAUACUUCAUAAUUAAUUUUAACUUGCCACUUAACUUGGAUAGCAAACAAUUAUACAAAACGCAAUCUCGCCGAACGUAAUAUUGUAAACAAACACGGAAAAAAAAUCAUGUUCGCCAACCAAUACUUCCUAAAAUUAGUCGAGCAAAGUUUUUUUAAAUGCCAUUUCGUGAUUGGUGGCGUAUCAGUCGCAAACAUGCGCACAAAUAUAACGCUACCGUUAAUUUAUUAUUGUAACGUUGCGCCGAUUGUAGCACGGAUUUACUAAAAAAAAAGUAAUAUUUCUGCCGAUAUUAUGAUUAUAAAAUUUAAUUCGUGUUUUGUUUAUUAAAAAUGUGUUCGUCUUCUUUGCUAUGUGGUUACACAUGUUAAGUUGGCAAUAUGUAAAACUAAAAUAUAAAUAAUAUGGCCGAUUGUCGUCAUUGUUGGUAAGUACGUGUUUCGGUCGUACGUACGUAAUUUUUAGUGUCGGCCGAAGUCACGUAAGGAGAUAUUAAGAAUUUAUUGUAAUUCAAUUUUAUUAUAUUUUAUCAUAGAGUUUUACCCAAAUUUCCUUUCGAGUUUCGCCCCGUCGAGUAAAAUAAACUCGAAUUCCGAGCCGAGCCGAGCUGAUGCUACUCGCUCGACUCGACUCGAAUUUUCGAGUCUCGGCCCAUCACUAAUAAUAAGUCCUUAUCAUUCUCACCUGUUUACAGAAAACAUAUGGUCUGCUAUAUGCUACAAUAGAAACACAUGUUUACAAACCAGGGAUUAAUAAUUUCCGUAUUAACAUAUUUUUUACUUGUGCCAUCACUUUCCCGCUCUAAUUCCGGAGCAUUUCCAGCAAAUUAAAUUGCAAACAGCGCUGCAUUUAAUAGCAUACCAUCAGGAAAAAGUUUAUUCUGAUCACUCAAAGUUGAAAGUGAAUAUUGCAAAGCUUAUUUAUUAUACGUUAUUGAGUGUGGCCAUGGCAGCUUUGUUUGGCAUUUUAACUAUCUUCAUUUACAGUUUUUUUUGUGCUACUUUAAAUCAUACGACCAUAUACCAAAUCCACAUCUUUGGUGACACAUGCAUGAAAAAUUAUGUUGAAACAAAAUGGUGUCUUUCUGUUUUAUAUCUUUCCUCUUUAAACUUUAAUAUAUUAUUAGGGAUAGUGAUUUAUCAUUUUUGCGAAAUAGAUGCGAAAAUAUGCUAAAUUAUAUUUUUUCCGCUAUAAAAUGCGAAAUCACGGUAAAAAACAUAGAUUCGUCUUCACUCUACACAAUUUUUUUACCGAUUGUAUUUCGUUUCAGUUCAUUAUCAUAAGAAACCAUCAUUUUAUGGCGUAUUCAGCACAAAUAUCUUAUUGUCACGUCAUUCACAAACUAUUGUUUGUAAAUAUUGAAUGAAGAAUGGCCAUCCGUGCCUCGCGAUUGUAAACAAAGCAAAGAACAACUAGCUGGAAGAUUGUCCGUCUUCUUGCAGAGUACAAGUUUUUAGGCCACCAUAUUACGACAUCUCUUUUUUCACCGCGCUGUAAUGCUUCGGGAUCUUUCAAGUCGAGCCUUGGGUUGGUAGAGUUCUUUUUUUAUUCUUAUUCACCACGGAAUACAAACAUAUUAAGCUUCAUCAUCACUCUCAUCCACCAUUGUUAUCCAUAGAGUAAAAAAAACAAAACAAAAAGAAAACACAUCUGGCCAUACCAACCUUCACAAACUAAAUUCUCUACACAAAUAAAAAUACCUUCCAGGUAAAAAUAUAACACAUCAAAAAACCCUUAGCCCGGGAGUGCAAACACUUUACAGCGCUAACAAUUGUAAGUCCCAUUUUCUGGCUGUGUUUCACGUGAAAGCCAUGUUCUUGUGAAGUUUGUGGAAGGUGGUGUGUUUACAAAUACGUGCAUACUCGUGAAUGUGUUGUAUACUGUUAUUUCUCGUGGUAAAAAUGGGACGAAACUUAAUUUCCAUUCGCGAUCGCAUAAAUGAAUACAAAAGUGAACAGUUCUAUGAAAGUGAUACAAAUAUUUUAAUGUGCAAUCGCUGUCUGGAGUGAAAAAAAAAAAGAGGUACUUGAAAAGCACAUUAAAACUGAGGGACAUCAGGCUGCAAAAAAAAAAAGAUUCACCAAGAAAUCGGAUAAAGAAAAAAAGUCGGUAAAACGGCAAGCAACGGUUUCUGGCAUGAUCGAAAACCAAAAGAAGGUGAAAAUUGAAAAAAGAGUUUUAAUAACGUUAUUUGUGCACUCAACAUCAACUAUGGCCAUGAACACUGCUAAAAAAUAUUUAUUGUAAUUUUAAGGGCUCGGUUCACUCCCAUGCUAGCCGAAUGGCGGGAUAGGGAUUUACAGGUUAAACUUAAAUGCACGCGAUUCCGUCAGUUAUUGUAAUAGAAAACUAAAACAAGCACCAAAUUGUAGAUAUUAUAAGCAUACAGGUUUCUACGAGAACAAUUUUAAUUUAAUUUAAGUUUUUAAGUUUGAUAUUGUAAAAUUAAGUUUUAAUUUUGUCACAAUUAUCAGUCAGUUUGUUCUACCCCCUUAAUCAUCUCGUAACAACGUUGGUCAUAUCUAAAUCUCACGAAAAGUUCUUGGCUUUGGCAAUGUAUCUGGUUAAAUAUACAAGCAACACUAAAUUUUUUAAAUUAAUAUUUUGGAAUUGCCUGAUGUAUAGGCUGCAAUGCACGCUGGUAAUAUGACGUGCUCCGCCGGCGGCGGACAAGAGAUAAGGCCGCGUGGAAUGAGAGAAUAACGGCGUAGUUGCCACUUCAUCUAUCUCCCCCUCAUCCACCCCUUACCUUUAGCUGUCACGCGACAGUAAACCCGCACUUCAAGUGAUUUUGUUCCUCGGUUCAAUUCUCCAGUUGCUACGCUACAGCCAUGGGAAGAAAUUGGCGUAAGUGUUACAAGAUCUCGCGACCUUUAUCUCACAGUAGAAAGUCCAUGAAAAAUCGAAUGAAGCUUCUUCUAGCAUCUAAACGUCAAAGUAAAUGGUAUAUAUUUAUAUGAUGCAACAAUUAUUUUAAGAAAAUUUAUUUGUAACCUUUUUACAGCUGGUAAAGUAAGAUGAGGCGAUGUUGUAAUCAGCAUAACAAAAGCGUAACGCUUACAGGGUAACUAACUAUCAGCAGUGUCGUAUUCGAAGGAGGAUAGGGGAACGGGGUUCAGGAGUGAGGUGCUCAAUGAAAUUUUUGCAUUAUAGCACACUCGCUUAAUUGAAUACUUGCGCAUUUGUCUACUUGCUCACUUGCAUACUUGCACACAAUCCACACAUUCGUAGACAUUAUUAUUCCCCUAUCACUUACAUAUAUUGAUACAUCACUUCUAACGCGCAUAGCGGCCACUCGUCCAUAUGAUUUUUAUGGGUUUUAUGGCUAGAGUAUGCUUUUGAAAUCAACACAGUCAGUACAGUAUAUAAUUCUGUAGUGAACAACCGGAUUAGGGCUAAAGGUUUCCAGCGGGAAAUGAAUAUAUAUUUCAUUCGUAAAAUGUUUUUAUUGGCCUUAUAGGUUGUGUACGGUACAUGCAGCCUUACAAGAAAAACAAUACACAUUUUAAAGUUUUAUUAUUUUGCCUGCCUAUAAAUUCAGCAAGCCUUUUUAAAAGAUUGCAAGCAAUACAGUUUAAAUGUGCAACAUGAAAUGAACACUCUAUGCGAUAUUCCCCAGUAUUAUUUCAGGUGACCGUAGCUGAAGUCGCUAUGUACCUUUGGAAGGAAUUUGGAUCAGAAUUUCGGGUGUGCCAUGAAUUUAGUUAAAAUUAUAUAAUUUUUUUAUAUAAUUUAUUUGUCCAUCCGCCCCGGACUGGCAGACGUAAAGAGCGAGCGUUGAAAAGCAACAAUUUCACAAGAAACUAUCUAAGCUUAAUUACUGCAUAAAAAUGCGAUGAAACUAUUUAAACUAUCAAAAAACCUACGGACGUCUAAAUCUGGAUCAGAGAUUUUGAAAUAAAUUUUAGGCAUUAGUAAUAAAGAUUCCCCCUGGCCUUCGCGGCCAUUGUCUUGCAUUUAUUGGCCAAUAAAUUUAGGCAUUAGUGUUCCUAAGAUUAGGUAGUUGAUACGCCGAGCCGUAACAAACCCGCCGGCACACGGGAACCUGUAAAAUAAAAUAAGAUAUCAAAGUUUUUAAAACUAGUCAGUGCUGAAAUUAAUGGAGUUGAAAUAUUGGAUGUUUUAAAAUGAAUAUUACUAAGUAGGAUAUUAAUACAUUGUUAUCAGUUAAACAAUUUCUUACUUACAAGAGAAUGUUAUACUAUCAUCAUGCCAAUGACUACAAUAUUAUAAUACGCACAAUGUUAUUAUGUUACUCUUUUUAUAACAUGGUUGUAUUUGAUUUGAACAACAGGAAAAAAUAAUUUUUCCUUACAAACUAUAUUUACGAAAUUGUAGUAAUUCGACAGGCCCUUGAAAAUAAUUUUGAUAUGGUAGCCAUUGAUUAGGCCUAUGUUAAACAAAGUUAAUUGUAAGUUAAUUCAGAUGGUUCAUGAGGCUGGAACAUAUAUAUAUCUAUAUAUAUACAGAUAUAUAUAUAAAUUACAUUUAGGUUUAUGUAGUAAAGUGGUCAGUUAGUACCUGCAAUUACGUUUAUUUUCUCCCAUAAUCUUCAGUAUAAUUUGCGCCAAACUUCUUAGCGGGCGAAUUUUCGCGAUGUUGUGCAUUACCACAUCAAAGAACUUCUGACUCAAUGUCCAGUCGUUAUCUUGGUAAUAGUCUGCUUACAGCCGAGCUGUUAGCAAUUUUAGCUACGGUGAACAGUGCUUUUCUGAGGACCAUUGAGUGAGCAACUAGAUGGAUGUGUCGUUGUGACAUUGCUUGGACAGUUAUUGUAGCAGCGAUUUUUUUUACCUCUUAAUUUAUGAAUAUAUAUAUUCAAAAUACUGAACAUUUAAAUGACAUGUAAAGCAAGUUAAAUAGAACAACUCAUUUAAUAUUGUAAAUAGAUAGGUAAACUGAAUAUUUCCAUCUUAUAUUUCAGACUGUUAAAUAAAAUAAUAAAUGUUGUUUAUUACAUCCACAGCGCACGCUGUUCACCAUGUAUUUGAAAAAGAUAAACAUGAACGAACUAUUUAACUGAUAGAAUUAGUUUAUGAACAUUUUAUAAUGUGCCUGAGCAUUUAAAAUCUACAUGUAUUCUAAAUUUUAUUCUUCAGGUCAGAUCAGUGCAAAUAACUAUUUACCCCAAAAAAGAACAUAUAUUCAAGCUGGCGCAUACAAAAUACAACUGCAAUACAUAUUAGAGCUGAAAGAGUUGAGGAAAUUAGCUAAAAAGCUAAAAUAGAAUUAAAUAGAGCUGGAAAAAAGUGUGAAUUAAGAAUUCGUGUGAAGCUAUUUCAUUUUUAUCUGGGAACCACAACUUCUUAAUUAUUUUUUUAUACUCAGGAAAAAAACACUACAAAAUAGUUACUUUUAUUUUUAAGAAGUAGAGAAAUGUUCAUUAUAGCUGUAGGUUCUCACUGUGUUUUUUAAGGUCUUGUGUGUUUCGGCAUAGUAGUGGGAAAACCUCGACAGAAAAGUAAUAAUAUAAAGAUACGCGAGGACUGAUUGCCACAUCAUUAUUAUCGUUACACUAUUCGUCUUGCUAUUUUAAUACAUGAAAUAACUAAACAAUUAUAAAUAUUUAACUAAGGCUAUUUAUAUGUACAUCUCAGUAAGUUUUUUAAAGGAAACCUGCUACGGAAAAUGUUAACAUAAUAGGGCUAGUAUACAUCUUACAUUAUUACGAUGCGGAAAUUAAGAUUUACUUUAAAUGCACUUAAAUGAAUCGUUCUUGUCUCCAGUGAUAAUUACGAUGUGAACAAACUUUUUAUGAAUAAUUUUAGUUUUCAUACAGAAUAUUCUCCAUUGUCAUUCUCAACAUAAGAACAAAAUAUAGCAUGUUAUCCUGAGCAUUCAUUAAUAAUAAAGUCUUUAAGUAAAAUCAGAACUAAUAAUCAUUUUAAAAAAAGUUUGUUUUUUUAAGCCCUAAAAACGUUUAAUAAGAUGAUAGGAUUAUACAAUAUCGAGGUUUUGUAGCGAUACAUUUCAUUAACAUAUGACCAUUUUGCAUCAUUACACGUCUUUGUCUGAAAACAAUAUUUCCGAAUCAAAUGCCAAAUCAUAACUGUGUAGUAAGCAUGCUUUCUUAACAAUAGUCAUGUAUUUAACAUUAAGUUAAAAUAUGUAUUUGUACUAAUUUCUUAUUUUAUUAUUGUUAAGCACAUUUUAUUCUUAUUUUUAUUUUACAGUUCGGCUGUUUGUGAAGAUUUUAAUGAGCAUUUACCAAACCUCAUUGUUGAAAACAGCCAAAUUGAGAGUUCUUCAUGGAUAAAUUUACAAGGAAACAGGAUAUUCAGACCCUCAUAUGUAAUACCAUAUUUAUUAAAACUACAAGGAAAGCACACAAGACAGUGCACUGCAGGAACCAUUCAGUUCAAAAAAUUAAUUCGUCAUGGUCUUUAGAAUAUUUAUUUCCUAUUACUUUUAACUGAUAAUAAUGUAUUCUUUAUGGGACUUACUCAAGUUAAACAUGGAUAUUGAUUAUUUACUACGUAGCUUCACAAAAUUAGUGGGUAACGUUUAUUAAUUGAGUAGCUACCAUAUAGUACGAUUUUGAAAUGAACUCAAAACUAGAGAGUAAAGUAAGGAAGACUGCAGUACUUGUGCAAUUAAUUAAUCACAGUUGUGGCCUUAUUUGUAUCACUGUGGAUUGUGUUCACGAAUUUUCCAGUAUUUCUUAUACUGACCCCACUUCCAGCCUCCUGAUCCCGAAGUAACUACAGCGACACAGGUAGAAGAUUUAUCUUGAUUCUGAAGUGCAGACCGAUUCAGGCCUCUUACAAUUCUUAGAAAACAACUUAAAACUAUUAGCACAAUUAUUAUAUUUUGACGUUACAACGUCUAAUAAAUCGAUGAACGCCGGCUGCACGCACGAAAAAGUGUCCCACUACGGAUGUGUCCUGUUUGCUCAUUGUACGCAUGCGUAGCAUCUCUCUUCAUGCUCAUUGUAGGGCCUACGCAUGCAGGGCAUCUCUCUUCCACUCGAUUGGAACAACCAUCGAUUUGACUUUUCAAUCAUAUUUUCGUAGUUUGAAUUAUUAAUAUUAUGUAAUUUAACGAUCGUCCACCGAUUUUCAGCACAAUCGGUACGGUUAUUUAAAAGUAAUGUUGAAUAUUCAAAUACGUUUUGAACAAAAAAUGGUGUUUUACAGUUACACAUAAUAAUUCAAAUUACACCCGGGAUCUUUUGCACAGUGUUUUAAAAAAUAUUGUAACACAUUAUAAAUAAGUUUGGUGUGUUUGGGAUGCGUAUUUGUUAUAAAAUCGGGUUAUAAAAAUGAAAUAAUAUUAUUCCCCUACCGUGAACAAAAUUUUUAUAAAUAUGUAUAUAACAACUGAAACUAUCGUUAUGAAGUAUGGCCCCGUGACCGUGCGGUCAGCAAGGCUAACUUCCAUUCCGAAGGAAGUCGGUUCGAACUCGGCAGCUGCGAAUUUUUUUUGUACUUGUAAAAAUAAAUACGGCACACGCAACAUUUCAAAAGUAAUAAAUAUAUUUGAAUUAAUGAAUGCAAAUUAAAGUAAAUUUAUUAAUUAAAUUGUACUUUUCAUUUCACUCCUUUGUAUCCAUACAAAAUAGUGAUAAUUCAAUAAAAAUGAUUCAAUUUUAUUCAUAAAUGUAUGCAGAGGUAGAUUUUAUCAUACAAAAGACAGAAAAAUAAAAAAAAAUCUUCCUCAAAGAAUAUAAUAUUUUUAAUGCCUAAAUGGUUUGGUUGCAAAAACCUAUUACAGCUCAGUCUCAGGCCGAAUAUGAUAUUUACUUUUCUUCUGGAUCAAUCAUUUCAUCAAUGUUUUGUUAUGACGUUGUUACGUUAAACUAUCGUCCGUAAACCGACUUUACAGACAACCAAUUUUUCGUUCUGUUUUUUUUUUUAAGGAAGCUGUAACUGGAUUUAUUGUAAUAUGAGACUAAAUCAAAUUCUGUGAUUGAAUUUAGGUUUUGUAAUCAGUGAAAUGUAUGAUGUUUGAAAAAUUGAAAUAUUUAUCACGGUAAAUCUUUAUAUUUACUUACCUAAAUUUGUGUAACAUUACAACACUGACUAGAGUUUAUAUGUUUGGAAUGCCAAUUUUUUACUUAGCAUAAAGCUAAGUGUAAUUAAUACAUCAUAUUUGAUAUAAAUAGUAGACAAAUCGGUUGUGAUACUUCAAAUAAUCACAAACCAAAAUCCCACCAUGGAGAAAUAUAUAUAUAUAUUUUUUUUACGAUCUACAUUGUAACUCUACAAGUUUACCUGGGAAACUAAAUAUUGCUUGAGUUUCAUCGAAUACCUAUAACAAAAUCAUUAUACAUCUUUGGUGUGGUCGUACAUAGACCUUUCAGGGGUUUCCCCCCCUUUUCUUUGUUGACCCGGCGCUCUUAGCCAUAAGGCCCUGCCGCCCCGGGCCCCCACGGGCGUGGAUAUGUUUGCGACAUAUACGCAAUCGGAAAAGCCGCUAGACCUCCGGCUAUGCACAGAGGCUGAGGCAUGUCCACCACCUCGGCCCCCUGCUCGCUCAGCUCACCUCAGCCCCUGGAGCAGCACUGCUGGCGCCUACAUCACACUGGGACCCCUCAAUCACCCAGUGGAGGCCGUCCCGGUGUUGUCGUACAGUAGUGUCUCGCUUAUCCGACAUAAACGGGUCAGCAGAAAGUCGGAUAGUUAAAAUGUCGGAUUAAUAGGAAAUUGCUAAUAAAAACAUUAUAAAAGUAAAAAUUUGCUAAUGUUUUAAACAUUUCAAACCUAAUAAACAUUUUUACAACCAAAAAAUAACAAAAAAUAUCUGGCUGAAUAAUAAGUUGCAGUACCUAGGGUCGGGAUCAACAAAAAUUAUUAUGACAAAUUGUCGUUUAUGUUUCCGAUAGAAUAGUUUUUAUUUUUGAGAUGUCGGAUAAUACGAAAUGUUGGAUAAGAAAAGGUCGGAUGAACGUGACAUUUCGGUUUUUGAUUAUUUGUGCUUAAUUCAGUCAUAUUCAUUUAGUAAGAAAAUUAAAGUAGGUAAUGAAAAUAAAUCAUAACAUUGCGUGGUUAAGUUUAUAUCAAUCAUUUAUUGGAAUUAAAUAAAACCUACAUGUGUAGUUCCGAUGCGAGUGGUAAAGUCUCUGUUUUCAAUGAGUAGAAUUCGUGAUUUUCCGGAGGUUCAAAGUACAGGAGGUGCGUUUGGGCGUUAUUUAUUUAAUACCUAAAUUAUUUCUAAAAAUACUAAAUUGUUUACAUUGUAUUAUGUUAAUAUAAAGCAGUGUUUACGUUUACAGUAGUCAAAUGUCAAGUUUCCUUUCGAAUGACUGUGAAAAACGGGGAGGUUUAUCGCAGCAAUGAAGGAAAUAUUUUUGUGUCCAAUAUAAGUUAUAAGCCGAGGCUCCAGAUUGUAAGGAUAUCAAGGCAAUAGCGGGCUACAUAUAUAUUGGGUGAAAAAUAUUGGGUCAAGUAAAGUAUUGCAUUAAAUGUUCUGAACAUUUAUAACCCGGAACCACGAGAUGAAAAUAAACUGUAGAAAAAAUGCUAAAAUGUCGUUUAUUUAUUAUUAAUUCUGCUUGCGUUUUGUAACAUAUUGUCCCAGCCUAAUCAAAACGCGAGUCAAUAGGCCUCAAAUAUAUAAAAAAAAAAUAUUGGUAAAAAAGUAUUAGCCUGGAUUAGUAUAUAUUGCACUGAAUAAUUUAUGUUUGUCACACAGCAUAUUCUUUUCAAUCCAGUGUUAAAUUAAUACGGUACAAUUUCAAAUUUAUAUAAAUAUAGUAACAUUUGAAACACACAAACGGUACGUAUUUUGCUGAAUGUAUCAAAUAUUUAUUGUAAAACCGAUUGGAAGAUGAUAUCAGGAAACUAAAAAAAAAGUUACGUUAACUUAUCAAAAUAUUGUUUGCCAAAAUCGAAACCAUUGAAAUAAAUAUAUAUAUAUAUAUAUAUAUAUAUAUAUAUAUGUCCUUUAUGGAAAUAACUUUAAACUGAGCAUACACAAAAAAAUAAUUCUGUUUCAAUUAUUAGGAUUUUGCCCUUAGUUCAGUGUUUUUUUUUAUUUGAAUAUAAUUUUGUAGGUAAUAUUCUAUUUAACUUUUCCUUAAUCGUACCAGACUGCCUUUCCCACCAGCCGGCCAAAUGGUCCACGGACUGCUAUUCAAUAUAUCCAUGGUUAAACCAGCAAGCAAAUAGCACAAGCCGCCAAUUUGGGCCCAUUCGGAAGCAGAAGGCACUGCCUAGCUGCCCUCGGAUAGCUAGCAGAGCGACCGCGGAACCGCCUGUCUUCGGUAGCCCAUAGCCCUUGGUGCGAGCGUCACGUGUCAGAUAACGCUUGGCAACACCGCGUUGUAAUUAUCGUGUUUCCCCCGAUUCUACCCGGAUGACAGCGGCGCCCGGGAAGAAUAUAUGUCUGUGAUAACGAGUGUUCAACUGAUCGUGACUACUAGCGCUCUCCAGCGGGACAGAAUCACAACCGUGACCUUGAACCGAGCCCUUAAGUAUUCAAUUUAUUGUACUCAUAAGUGCUAAAAAGUUCUUUGGAAACCUGCCAAGAUAGGCUAUCUUUGUAGUUGUGGUAGAUCUUUAUUUCUGUGGUUGUUAAUAAUUAAUAUGUGUAUUAUUUAAUGCUUUUUAAAAAUAUACUUUUCUUCGGUAAUGUAAAAUGAGAUAAUUGGCUAAAUCUUGUUUUUAAAAAUGCUACAAAAUGCUAAAUGUUAUUAUUUUAAAUGCUAUAAAUCACCAUCUCUAUAUAUUAUGCAUGUAAGUAGAUGUAAAUGCGGUUGUUACGUAAAUAAGCUAUGGAUUACUGGGCACUUAUUAAAAUUAGUUUAUUUACCAAUGUAACAAAUUCUGUAAAUAUUGUCUUAUUGUACAUUCAGUGACAAUCGUUUUACUACAAUAGAAAUGUUUUGUAAUUACAGUUUGCAGAAUUGAACUUUCAAGCAUUGCAAUGGACAUGCUUGUAACUUUUUCUGUUCCCGAGCGUAAACAAUUGAUUAAAAGUUUACUUAUUUGUUUAAUUAAUUUGUUUACGACAAAAAUCUGAAAUCAAUUAAAUUUUAACUUUCGAAUAUGCAUAAAAUCCAAAAAAAUAAUGGUUUAAGAAAAUUUCACCACAAUAAUGUGGACAUUUUGAGAUGCUUUAAUAUGCACAUUUCUUGUCCAAGAACUAGAGUUCAUGUUCAUUUUUAAACAUAAUCGUGGAAAACCGUAAGACUGGGUGUAUUUAUUGUUUUCACCUUGUGAAGUAAUGUAGUUCUCAUUAUUGUAAAACAAAAUAAUAUACAGUAGAACCCCGAUUAUCCGCGACUCGAUCAUCCGAUUCGCGGAUUAAACGCGAUUUAUGUCCAUCAAGUCCAAUUUUUUAGUUACAUAUAACCAAUGAUUCAAAAUGUAUGUAAAUGUUAAAAUACUUUGCAAAAUGUAUGUUGGUCAAAGUACUUUGACUCAGUUAUGUUUAUAUACACAGAAAGUUUAAAAAAAAAAAUACUAGUACAUACAUACAUAUGUACAUAAUAUUUUUGUGUUCCAUGUUACGUGAAUAGAUUAUACACUGGUGCGCGAUUCCACGUCCGCAUGACCGGACUGUACACUCCCGCGCGCAGCACGGCGCCGUGCCACAGAGAUUACCCGGCGCAUGGAGACAGUCCAUUCCAUUAGUGUACGUUGUUGAAGCGUCAAGGUGGUGAUAAUUUUAUGUAUUGCAACAGUGAUCUGCAUUCCGACGGAUUAUACCGUUGUGUUGUGCGGAAGUGUUGAGCGCAACAUUUCAUCAUGUCAUCAAAUGAACAGAAAAGAAAGCGAGUGGUACUGUCCAUCGACAGCAAAACAAAAAUUAUAGAAAGAUUUCAGAGUGGAGAAACGAUUGCAAACUUGCGACUGAGUUUAAUGUCGGUAACACAACAGUGCGCGACAUCAUAAAAAAUCGCGAAAAAAUUCUUCAGUUUGCUUCACAGGCUGACACUUCAAGUGGAUUAAAUAAACGCAAGACGAUGAACGAAUCCACAUUUAGCAGCUUGGACACUUGUUUGUUUGAAUGGUUUCAACAGAAAAGGUCGGAGGGUGUAGCAUUAAGUGGCGUAAUUUUAUCACAGCAGACGUAAUUUUUUUUAAAAAAACUAGGCUUGACAGAAGAACCAUUUUCCUGUUAUAUUACUUCUCCGUUAUUGUAUGAGCACCGACUGUACGGAAGUGUGUGUGUUGCAACUAGUGCUUGGCACUAGGGAUGGUCGGGUAUCCGAAAUUUCGGGCAGUGUUUCGGGUAUCAAGUAUACCCGAAAUUCCGGGCGGGUAUUUCAGUGCCCGAAAAUAUCGGGCACCUUGGAAAACGGCAAUACCGCACGGCGCAAGUAAACAAAGCUUCUUUUUUUUUGGAACGCGCGGCAGCUGCAGGAACAUGCCACGCCGCCGCCGUCCCGGCACCUGCCGGUGAAGUGAGUGUGUGUGAGAGAUAAGAUAAAGAAGGUGCCCGGUCAGCAAGUGUGUUUGUGGGAGGGGGAGACAGAUAUAAGAGAGCUAGCCCUGCAGCAAGCGGAAGUGGUCAAGGUCAACAUUUACCGUUACUCUCGCUGGCUGACUAACGAUGCAGCUGGUCGCCCGCCUCUCUCUCUCUCUCACACACACACACACACACACACACACACACACACGCGCGCGCGCUUACGUACGGCGGAUGCUCACUGCUCAAUAGUCACAAAGUAGUGUUCAAGGCCGGUGGAUCUGCUUGCUGUGUGCGAGAAGGAUUAUAAGCUGACUUUAAUUACACACAUUGUAGUUGCGUGGCAUUUACAGAAAGUGGUUGUGAAUUGUUUCUAUUUAAUUCAUGUCAUUAUUUUACCAAAAUGGAUACCAGUGGAAGUGUAGGUCAAACAAUCAACAGUGACAAUGAACCUUCAAGCAGCUACCCAAACACAAUUUAGUUAAUAAGCACUUUAUUUCCAAGAUUAAUAUGCACUCUAUUUUUUAGUUUAAUGUUUAACUUUCAUAUCAGUGCGGUAUAGUAAAUAAAUAAAAACAGUUCAGGUUUGUCAAUGCAAACUUAAGUACGACUAUUUUAUGUUCAAAAUUUAUUUCAUUAACUGAUUUUGAUGCCCGACCGAGAUUGCCCGAGCCCGAAAAUUUUGGACAAUUACCCGCCCGAGCCCGCCCGAAGUCAAAUUUCUCUGCCCGACCAUGCCUACUUGGCACGCAAGAUAAAUUCAGAUUAUCACUUGCUGACGCGGCACAGUGAUACGACGGUGUUUGUUUAUUUCAAAACUCAGCUAGUUCCUGAGAUUAGGGUCGUUAUAGAGAGGUGGUCGUUAUAAGAUUUCCGACCCAUCUGCAACACUAAGUCAUAAUAGGCCGUUUUUGCACUAAUUCCACGUUCAGCAAACUAAAAUAAAAAAUCUAACAUUUUAAAUUCACAUAAAUAAAGGGGGAUAAAAACACCGUGAAUUAUACGAGACAGAGACACCGUUUCAAAACCAUCAAAUCAAGUCUCAAUGCACUGGUAUGAAAAAUCUUAUCUCGAAAAGAAUUUUGAAGGCAGUCGUUCUGUAAAACAAUAACCAGCCCGAUGGUGUUACUGACAACAGAGCAAUGAGCGAAGUGUGGCAGCGUCGCUUACGGGCGAUGAAAAGAAUGCGUGACCUUGGCAGCUAUCAGCUGUCUUGGGCCCUCGGACUGGCGGGCGGCUAGUCACACACCUUGGUGCAACAACGACUCGCGUGCCCACGUCUCCGCACACGAAAGACUUAAAAACCACUGCUGCCCAGCACUAAGCAGUCCGCUUCUAUGUCAACAACGCACACGCACACAAAGCAUGUGUAUAUAUGUAAUCUCCGAAUGUCCACAGAUGGCUGUCUGUGGGCUAAUGACCUUUGAGGCAAGCAUAACUCGGUUAACCGCGAUUUUCGAUUAUCCGACUCACUCGUCCCCUUCAUUAACACGGAUAAUCGGGGUUCUACUGUAUAAGCAUAUCUUACAUUAUGUGGGUGUAUAUGCUUCUUAUUGUUUCAUCAUAGUGAGAUAAAAAAAAAUAUGUUUUCCUGCUUUUUAUAUAUGUUUGUCCUGGCCCCUUGUAAUAUGUAAAAAAAAUUGUUUCUUUCUACUUACUAUAUGUAAACUACAGUAGAAUCCCUCCCGAACGACCCCCCUCUGGAACGACUAUUCCGUAAGAACGACCAGUUUUCGAGGAAGCGUGAAAAAAUUCGGAAAAAAAAAGAGUAAAAUUGGAUGAAAAACAAGUGUGCUACACACUAUGUACGGCGCUGCGCGUCACGUUUUUCUUGGUGAGCGCUGUACUGUUGGCAGGCGCACGCAUGGCUAAAAAUAGAUACCACCCCUCCAGAGUCCAGACUGGCCACCCUAGCGAUAACGGUAAACAGUGGUGCGCAUGCGCAUUUCUGUUGCCGUCUCGAUCCCGUGUCUUUGGCUUGUGGCUUGUUAGUGUGAUUUUGCUCGCUGGUGGAUACGCUUCUUUUGCUUGUUGAUUCGGAUAUUUCUUGGUUUUUAUUAUUGUUGACGACUUAUUACGCUUUGUUUCUUGGACGCCGAUUUGUGAAGAAGAAGAAAAGUGUCUCUUGAAAGAAAAGUACUUGUUAUGAACUGAUAGGCGUGUGUUAAAUCCCUGGAUAUGGUGCAGGCCAGCACGCGAUUAGGGGAAAUAAAACAUUGGCGGCGCAAGAGUUCAGACCUGCAGAAACCCGAGCAGUAAUGAAAGCUCACUAACCUCGUACAAAGACAGUGAAGAAAGACUAAAGUUAAUUUUGCGUGUGUUUACGUACAAACACUAUUGCUGGACGAACAAACGUGAUAUAUAGCUGUUCACUAGUUGUACAUUUCAAAUUGCUGUGUUUGUAUAUUUUGAGCCUAUAAGUUAUGAAACUGAGAUUUUUACUUUUGUGAUCAUGUUAAAUGUGCAGCAGCAUUCUGUGUUUAUAAAGUGCCCUAUCAAACAUGUAGAAAAUAUUAACUGCUCCUUCAGUUAUUGCAAGCAAAAUGCAUGCCAGAGAGUAGAAGUCCAGUAACAUGAUAGGAGUUUGUUACUGAUACUGAUUAUAUCAAUAAAAUCCAAAAGAAUUUGCAAAAAAAUAAGUUGUUCAUGAAAGUUAGUUUCAAUAUCAGGAAAUAUAAAUGUUUGUCCCAUCAGACUGAUUAUUUUUUUUGGAUGACAUUUCUCGUGGCUUGGUAAACCUCGUGACUGAAAUGCAUUUAUAUUUGGACUUCUACUUUUGGUGCAUAUCAUUAUACAUACUGUGUGUGUGUGUAUAUAUAUAUAUAUAUAUAUAUAUGCAAUUUUGUGUAUAACGUGACACAUGCAAACAAUUUCUGAUGCCAUAAGGAAAAUACCCACCUGAAUUAAUAUAACAUGUUUUAUUUUCCUGGGUACAUUUUAUCAAUUUUCUUUUCCUUUUUUAAGAAAUACAACUAAUUGUAUUGAUUUUUAGUUCUUGUUUACUUUUGUUGGUUGUGCGACAUAAAUUACUGGGGAGUAAUUUUAUUAUAAAAGUCAGUAUUAUUCAAUAAAAUUUUGAUACAUUUUAUUACAUUUGUUAGCAAGCAACACUUUUAGAUAAGAUAUUGUGUGUGUUUUACUAUGAAACAGAACUGUAUCAAGUGUUUUAUUUGAAUAGAAAUGGUGCCACUUUAAAUUUCUGAAUGCUAUUAAAAUAUUUUUAAUUUGUGUGCAAUUACUUAAGCUUACAUUCAUAUGAAUUUAAGUGCCAGCAUUUUUCAGUUCGUGUUUUUCAUUGAUACUAUCAUCUUUGUAAAAAAGAAGUCUAUAAAAUUCUUCUUAUAUUUUUGUUGGAAUUUCUUUUAAAAAUUUGAAAUGUCUUUUUUAAAUGAAUAAAAAUUCAAGAUAAAUUGUGUAAAAUAAAGUAAUUAUUAAAAACCUGUAUGAAUUGUUUGCUAUUUAUUAUUACAUUUUUGUAACUUGUUUUUAUAACUCAUAGAUCAUAUUCUGCACACUGUGUAACUGCUUAUUCUGCAAUUAACCCAAUAAUGAGAGGAAAUUUUCUACUACCAAUAAAUUAGCUCUAUUCUGUUUCUUGCUCAUAUAUUCCAAUUAAUUUUUUUAUUUAGUAAAGUAUGUUAGAUUUUUUUCAUUCUAGAGAUGUAAGGAAGGUAAGUAAUACAACAGUGCAAUAAUUAAAAAAAUUUGAAAAGGAAUGUUUUUAAUUUUUGUUGUAAUAUCUGUUCUGGUGGACAUACGCCCAAAACUGUGUAUAGUCUGUCAUUGGUAUAGUGUUGGUCUUUUGCUAUUGGCAAAUUUAAUGCAUCCUAGAGUGAUUAUUUAUAUGCAUAUGAACAUAAGCACAUUCUAAUGAGGUGCACUGAUUCAGGAGAGUGAUUUCUGGCAUUACCAGCUGUGAUGUGCAACAUUGCAGCUAUCUCUCUUUUGCCUCUAUAUUGCUAACUUAAUUAUUUCAUACAACCACCUGCUGCAUUCUGUGAUUGUCAGUAGUGAAACAUUGAUUGAAUUACAAAGAAAAAUUAUAAAGAAAAA